GCGGGAGUAACAUAAUGGUAAUGUGUCUGCCUUCCAAGCAGAGGAUGAGGGUUCGAUUCCCUUCUCCCGCUCCA
This 74-nucleotide transfer RNA is filed under the name Chloroflexota bacterium. RNAcentral's name for it is "Chloroflexi bacterium tRNA-Gly". It matches the Rfam family "tRNA". Rfam says of the family: Transfer RNA (tRNA) molecules are approximately 80 nucleotides in length. Their secondary structure includes four short double-helical elements and three loops (D, anti-codon, and T loops). The record is from RNAcentral. Lineage: Bacteria; Bacillati; Chloroflexota. RNAcentral also lists the same sequence under 1 other name.